GAUGAACGCUGGCGGCGUGCCUAAUACAUGCAAGUCGAGCGAACGGACGAGAAGCUUGCUUCUCUGAUGUUAGCGGCGGACGGGUGAGUAACACGUAGAUAACCCACCUAUAAUACUGGGAUAACUUCGGGGAACCGGAGCUAAUACCAGAUAAUAUUUUGAACCGCAUGGUUCAAAAGUUAAAGACAGUCUUGGUGUCACUUAUAGAUGGAGUCGCACUGCAUUAGCUAGUUGGUAAGGUAACGGCUUACCAAGGCAACGAUGCAUAGCUGACCUGAGAGGGUGAUCGGCCACACUGGAACUGAGACACGGUCCAGACUCCUACGGGAGGCAGCAGUGGGGAAUCUUCCGCAAUGGGCGAAAGCCUGACGGAGCAACGCCGCGUGAGUGAUGAAGGUCUUCGGAUCGUAAAGCUCUGUUAUUAGGGAAGAACAUAUGUGUAAGUAACUGUGCACAUCUUGACGGUACCUAAUCAGUAAGCAACGGCUAACUACGUG
This 497-nucleotide ribosomal RNA is filed under the name uncultured bacterium. RNAcentral describes it as "partial 16S ribosomal RNA". It matches the Rfam family "Bacterial small subunit ribosomal RNA", at positions 28 to 507 of the family's 1533-position model. The record is from RNAcentral.